AUGGGGAAACUGGGCUUUGAGAAGGCUUGGAUUAGAGAGGAGCAACAAGAGCAGAAGGAUGAGGAAAAACUACCGAUGAAUGAAGAAGAAAUACAGAGGCAUGUAGAGAAAUUACAGAGCUACAUAGAAAAAAUGCAGAAGAAUGAAGAAGAAAUGCGGGAGAACAAGGAAAAAAUGAGGAGGAACGAAGAAAAGAUACAGGAGAUCGAUAAAAAAAUAGAGGAGAUCAAAGAAAAAAUACAGGAGAACGAAGUAAAAAUACUGGAGGACAAAGAAAAAAUACAGCAGAUCAAAGAAAAGAUACGGAACAAUGAAAUAAAAAUACAGAUGAACAAAGAAAAACAGGAAAAGAAAGAAAGAAUGCUGAAAAAUGUGGGAAAACUACAGAAAAAUGAAGUAAAAACAGAGAAUGAAAUAAAAAUAGAGAAGUUCAUGGAUAAAGUACAGGCAAUCAAAAAAAAAAUAAGGAAGAACAAAUCAAAAAUACUGACGGACGAAGAAGGAAUGCAAAUCAAAGAAGGAAUUAAGAACAAGGGAAAAAUACAGGAGCUGGACAAAAAAAUACAGGAGCUUGACAAAAAAAUGCAGGAGCUUGACGAAAAAAUGCAGGAGGGCAGAGAAAAAAUACAGCAGCUCAAAGAAAAGAUACGGAACAAUGAGAUAAAAAUACAGACAAACAAAGAAAAAAUACAGGAAAAAAAAGAAAGAAGGCUGAAGAAUGUGGAAAAAACACAGAAGAAUGAAAUGAAAACAGAGAACGAAAUACAGGAGUUCAAAGAAAAAAUACAGGCGAUCAAAGAAAAAAUGAGGAGGAACAAAGAAAUGCAGAUCAAAGAAAAAACACAUCAGAUCAAAGGAAAGAUACAGGAGCUCGAUGAAAAUAUACAGGAGAAUGAAAUAAAAAUGCAGGAUGACAGAGAAGAAGUACAGCAGAUCAAAGAAAAGAUACAGAAGAAUGAAAUAAUAAUGCAGAUGAUCAAAGAAAAAAUACAGGAAAAUGAAGAAAGAAGGCUGAAGAUUGUGGAAAAAAUACAGGAGAAUGAAGCAAAACCAGAGAACGAAAUAAAAAUACAGGAGGACAACAAUAAAAUACAGCAGAUCAAAGAAAAGUUACGGAAGAAUGAAAUAAAAUUAGAGAUGAUCAAAGAAAAAAUACAGGAAGAGGAAGAAAGAAGGCUGAAGAGUGCGGAAAAAAUACCGAAGAUUGAAGAAGAAAUGCAGAUCAAAGAAAAAAUUAGGAAGAACAAAGAAAAAAUACAGAAGCUCAACAGAAAAAUACAGGAGCUUGACGAAAAAAUACGGAAGAAUACAGAGAAUGAAAUAAAAAUACAAGAGAUGAAAGAAAAAAUAAAGGCAGCCAAAGGAAAAAUAAAGAACAAAGAAAAUAGCAAAAUAUCAAAGAACGAAACCAAAAUACUGGAGAGUGAAGUAAAAACAGGGAACGAAAUGGAAAUUCGUAAGAAUGAAAUAAAAAUACAGGAGAUCAAAGAAAAAAUACGGAAGAACAAAUUAAAAAUACAGGAAAGUAAAGAGAAAAUACCGAAGAGUGAGGAAAUAACAGAGAACAAAAUAAAAAUACGUAGGAAAGCAGAAAAAAUACAGGAGAUCGAGGGAAAAAUGCGGAAGAUCAAAGACGAAAUGCGGAAGAUUGAAGAAAAAAUACAGAAGAACAAAAUAAGAAUACAGGUAAACGAAAAAAUACCGAAGAAUGAAGAAAAAAUACUGAAAAAUAUGGAAGAAUGA
This 1743-nucleotide long non-coding RNA is filed under the name Manacus vitellinus (golden-collared manakin). RNAcentral describes it as "lncRNA (ENSMVIG00005010871.1)". The record is from RNAcentral. Lineage: Eukaryota; Metazoa; Chordata; Aves; Passeriformes; Pipridae.